RNAcentral lists this non-coding RNA (29 nucleotides) under Mus musculus (house mouse). Lineage: Eukaryota; Metazoa; Chordata; Mammalia; Rodentia; Muridae. The record is from RNAcentral.
UAGCCACAUAUUCAAACUUCUAUGUUGUC